This 274-nucleotide ribosomal RNA is filed under the name uncultured Prevotella sp. RNAcentral's name for it is "partial 16S ribosomal RNA". It matches the Rfam family "Bacterial small subunit ribosomal RNA", at positions 68 to 339 of the family's 1533-position model. The record is from RNAcentral. Lineage: Bacteria; Pseudomonadati; Bacteroidota; Bacteroidia; Bacteroidales; Prevotellaceae.
ACAUCGAAAGCUUGCUUUUGAUGGGCGUCGACCGGCGCACGGGUGAGUAACGCGUAUCCAACCUGCCCACCACUUGGGGAUAACCUUGCGAAAGUAAGACUAAUACCCAAUGAUAUCUCUAGAAGACAUCUGAAGGAGAUUAAAGAUUUAUCGGUGAUGGAUGGGGAUGCGUCUGAUUAGCUUGUUGGUGGGGUAACGGCCCACCAAGGCGACGAUCAGUAGGGGUUCUGAGAGGAAGGUCCCCACACUGGUACUGAGACACGGACCAGACUCC